AUAGCUGAGGUGUCCCAAAUAGGACGAAAUACGCAUCCUACAU
RNAcentral lists this non-coding RNA (43 nucleotides) under Trichobilharzia regenti. Lineage: Eukaryota; Metazoa; Platyhelminthes; Trematoda; Strigeidida; Schistosomatidae. The record is from RNAcentral.